AACACAUGGUUAACAUUAAUAUAUCUCAAGUUUUUAUAUACAAUGUCCACGACCAUUUGACCAUUUUACUAUUUGAUUGAUUUUCUCUAAGGGUAAGUGAAACUUCAGCAUACUAAAACCUAAACCUUAAACCCUAUAUUAUUACACAUAAUUUUUUUCAUCCUUUUAUAAUCAUACACAUGAUUUUUAUAUCAAUUCACAACUUUAGAUAUGAAAGAUAAUCGUCAAUACAAAGUCUCUGUUUGCAACUAUUGUGUUUGAAGUUGCAUCGUAACCACCGCGUCAUAGUCACCGCAUCGUAGCCACCGCAUCUCAACCACGGUAUCGCAUCCAUUGCAAAUCGACUUACUUUAACUCCUUGUUCGCUACUAAAUGGACACAAAAUCUUCGUCAACAAUCUUGAUUCAAAACCUGCAAGCCAAUCAAUCCGACCAUGAAACUUCAACUUUUAAAAGUCGUGACUCUCAACAAUUCACGUAGAUGUUCCAGUUGAGAUGGACGACUUUGCUUCGUACAUGUGUUCGCUGCUAAAUGGACACAAGAAAGUUCUAAAUAACUGAUCUAAUCUCACCAAAUUCACUUUUUGACUCUUCAUCAAAUCAACGAGCAUUACUUGAUUGUUUCGUUCACAAAUGGACUGAUUCAUUUAGUUAGACACAUUUGGACCCAAAAAGAUUGAAUUUGAAUUGAAACUACAACAGCAAAACACCCAAAAACCACAAAAUUUCACAUUACUCAUUCUACCAAACUCUAGUUUAGAAAAGAAAACAAUGAAUUAAGGUUCCAAAAGAAUUAUAUCGAAAAUUAAGAGAGAGAAAUAUAGUUAUAUGAAUCUGGAGAUGGAUUGCUCAUGAGAAGGGAGACAUAUGGGAUUAGGGCCUCUAUCCACGUCUGAUUUCAAAGAUCAAAUCGAUGAAAGACUAGUAGAUAAACACACACACGACCACAAGUUCAACAAUCAGAAACAGCCCCGGCUCAAUAUAUUUGAGAGCCUUAGGGCAAAAAAAUUUUUUUUGGCCUAUUAUUAUAUACAAAGAGAAAAUUUACUUAAUUUUUAAAAAUUUUGCGGAGUUUUUAUAGUAAAAAUUGUUAUUUUAAAAAUUUUGGGCCUUUUUAUACAUUUUCUUAUAAAUAAUUAGGCCUCUUAAAAUAUAAUUCUCAUAUUAAUAAUAUUUUAAAAAAAUAUUUGGGCCUUUUUAUAUGUAAAAUUUUUUUAUAAAAAAAAAAGCUCCGGGCCGUCGCACUUCCGCCCUACCCAUCUGAGCCGGGGCUGAUCAGAAAGACCAAAUUUAGAGGAAGUGGAGAAUUUUCUUUUUUUCCUUUCUUGGAUGUAAAAAACACAGUUAAAAAAAGAAAAGCGAAUCUGAAAUUAAAUUGAUGGAUUAGAAUUUGGAAAGAAAGAGAAAAGGGAAGAGAGGGAUAAAGAAUGAGAGGAUACGGGGAGAGAGAAACAAA
Molecule: long non-coding RNA, 1455 nt
Filed under: Arabidopsis lyrata
Lineage: Eukaryota; Viridiplantae; Streptophyta; Magnoliopsida; Brassicales; Brassicaceae
Description: long non-coding RNA (ALYR_LNC002120)
Source: RNAcentral